Molecule: ribosomal RNA, 253 nt
Filed under: uncultured bacterium
Lineage: Bacteria
Description: partial 16S ribosomal RNA
Rfam family: Bacterial small subunit ribosomal RNA
Source: RNAcentral
UACGAAAGGAGCAAGUGUUAUUCAGAUUAACUGGGCGUAAAGGGCACGUAGGCGGUUUGUUUAUGUGUAUUAUUAAAUUAUAAAGCAUAACUUUAUAAUGUAGUAUAAACAGCAAAACUAGAGUUAGGUAGAGAGUAGUAGAAUUGCUAAUGUAAAGGUGAAAUUUGAUAAAAUUAGAGAGAAUACCAAUGGCGAAAGCAACUACGUGGACCGGAGCUGACGCUGAGGUGCGAAGGUAUGGGGAGCAAAUAGG